Rhinopithecus roxellana (golden snub-nosed monkey) is the source of this 843-nucleotide long non-coding RNA. RefSeq lists it as uncharacterized. Lineage: Eukaryota; Metazoa; Chordata; Mammalia; Primates; Cercopithecidae. The record is from RefSeq and is a predicted model, not a curated record. The transcript is spliced from 3 exons.
UUGAACUCCUAACCUCAAGCAAUCUACCCGCCGCCACCUCCCAAAGUGCUGGAAUUACAGGUGUGGGACACCACGUCUGGCUGACAUCUCUUGGAGAAUGAGAAGUACUAGAUUUUUGUUUGAUUUUUAUGAAAAUAGUUUUGCGCAAAAGACCGCUAGCAGAAAAAAUGACUUAUCUGAAUAGGGGGUUUAAGUGAGGAAUUGGGCCUGGUUCAGCCCUGGCUCUAACCUACUCUAGAUCCACUGUCUGAGUGGAGCACAUUCUAUUCUUCAUGAGCACUAAGCACAUCCUGUUUUGCUACCCAACACCUUCCUUCAGGAGUGAUGCUGAUUCCUGGGUCUUCUUGUAGACGCUUGAUUUUAUCUCUGAAGACCCCGGACUUGUUGGCGUAGAAACAGCACUUUUCCUGCAGAGCUAAGCAGAUACCUCCGUGUUCGGCAGUUAAUAAAUCUAGGCCUCUUCUAUUUUGGAGCACUACUUCUGCCAGGGAAUCUACUUGAUCUGAAGGAGCCUUGGCCCCCUCGUCAUCACUUUCAAGAGAAAUAAGAUCUACUUCUUUGUCUGGCGGGGGGCUCCCAAGGUCGGUCUGAGAACUGACCUUUAAAAUCUCCUCAGUCUGGGUGACCGCAGCCAUUACUUGUGGAUCGGCCUCCUUUUUAUCUAUUAGAUCCUUGAUUAAAUUCCAAUAAGAAAAGGCGGUUACAGGAAUUUUUUCCGGCCCAAACGUAUUAUAAUAAUCUUGAAAGGCGUCUCCCACCCUCCGCCAUUCUUUUAUAUCAAUGGUUCCUUCCUGUGGGAAUCAAGGGCAGGUAUCUUUCACAAAAUAAAAACUCUAAAUAAGU